UACGUAGGGGGCUAGCGUUGUCCGGAAUCAUUGGGCGUAAAGCGCGUGUAGGCGGUCCGGUACGUCCGCUGUGAAAGUCGGGGGCUCAACCCUCGAAUGCCGGUGGAUACUGUCGGGCUAGAGUGCGGAAGAGGCGAGUGGAAUUCCUGGUGUAGCGGUGAAAUGCGCAGAUAUCAGGAGGAACACCAAUGGCGAAGGCAGCUCGCUGGGACGUUACUGACGCUGAGACGCGAAAGCGUGGGGAGCAAACAGG
This 253-nucleotide ribosomal RNA is filed under the name uncultured bacterium. RNAcentral describes it as "partial 16S ribosomal RNA". It matches the Rfam family "Bacterial small subunit ribosomal RNA", at positions 524 to 776 of the family's 1533-position model. The record is from RNAcentral.